RNAcentral lists this long non-coding RNA (500 nucleotides) under Manacus vitellinus (golden-collared manakin). Its description in RNAcentral is "lncRNA (ENSMVIG00005001973.1)". Lineage: Eukaryota; Metazoa; Chordata; Aves; Passeriformes; Pipridae. The record is from RNAcentral.
AGAACAAGACUCAGUGGCUUGGGAAGUAGUUCCAGUUCUAAGUCCUGCCCACACAACCUGUGUCAGUUAACUCUUAGCUUAGACUGUCCUGUCUCUCCUGACAGAUACGUGGUCAGACACCAGAAUGUGGUUUGUUCACCUGCUUGAUUUUAAUGCUUUGAUAAAUAUGCUGUCUAGUAGCUCUGCAUCUCGUAGAAAUUUCUGAUUUCCCAAGGUUAACCAGAAAUGAUUUUGAGGUUUGAGGCUGAUGAUGCUGUGACUCAUAUUAAUGACAAAUGGCAGUAAUACAGUUCUUGCAAGCAAUUUUCAAGCCAGACACAAUGCACAAAAACCUAGCAGAAGAUUUGACAGCAGAAAACAUUGCACAAACAUGACUUUGGCAUUUGAUUGAAGUGCAGUAUUGUUCAGCUUCAACACAUUCUGACAUCUUUUGCAGAUCAAUUAAAGUGCAACAGUGUGGAAGCAAUAAAAAUGAAGAUGUUUUAUCCUUAGCUUAGAAU